GCGGCCGGGAGGAAAACAGCUUGCCCGCGUGGCUCCCGCACGCCCCGCAUCCAUCAUGCGCCCGCCUGCUGCUGCUGGGUCGCAGACGGGCAGGGAGGCCGGCUUACCGGGGCCAGCCGCGCUCUCCUGCACCCCGACCUGCCCCUCUCCGGAGGUGUCCGGGUUCAGCCACCCAGCAGACGCCAGGUGGGCUCACAUCUCUGUCCCAGCCUUCAGCCAAGCUUCCCGAGGAUCCUGCCUGGGCAAGCAGCAAAUGUUUCUCGGGAACAAGGCCCAGGCUGGGUGACACCAGGAGGGUCUCUAGAGCUGGACCUGCAAAGGGGGCCAUGGGCACAUCCAGGUGGCAUCCAGGUGAGGCCGGGGUCCCGGGCAGACACUCUGCCCCUGCCCCCCUGCCCAGGGCGGUGUCUUGCCCCCUGGCAGGUCUCAGACCUGAGAGGUGCGGUCUGGGACUGGGGCCACAAGGACCGAACACGGCCCAGGCUGGUCCAGCACAGUCCAAGAGCCCCAGGGGCAGGGAGAGGGCUUCCCCAGCACGGGGGAGGGGAUCCGGAGCUGCGCCUCCACACACAGGAGAGACGAGGGGGGACCCUGAGGCUCCGGUCAGGGCAGGACUUACCUCUGAGCCCUGCCUCCAGGAGAGGCAGUGGUGAAGCCAGGACAGGAAGGAGCUCCCUCCACGACAAGCCCCGUGAUCGGCACGCGAGCCGAGCCCAGUCCACAGGGGCAGGCCUGUGCCCUCGCCCUCACACACGUCUCUCCACUGGCCCUGGCGAGCAGGCACCCACGUCACAGGCUGUCCGGGACCCCAGAGCAGCCCCAGCCUCCAUGGCCCCAGGCCUAUGGUAUGACUCCAGGACCCCAGUGUCUGGCCUGGGCAGACUCAGGUAAGCCCUGUACCUGUACCACCAGGCCUGGAGCCUCGGGGCUCACUGUGGAUGGGGUCGGAGACCCUGAGCUAACUCUUGGGGCUGGGAGAGGGACAGGCCACGAAGGGCUCAGGACUGGGCAGCUGGGUGGUGGGCAGGGUGCAGCAGAGAGCUCGUGGCAGGCACCGGGGGCAGGGGGUAAGAGCGCAAAGCCCAGCAUGGUAGGACGCGUGCUAAGUCGCUCU
Molecule: long non-coding RNA, 1114 nt
Filed under: Capra hircus (goat)
Lineage: Eukaryota; Metazoa; Chordata; Mammalia; Artiodactyla; Bovidae
Description: lncRNA (ENSCHIG00010015002.1)
Source: RNAcentral